RNAcentral lists this ribosomal RNA (492 nucleotides) under uncultured bacterium. Its description in RNAcentral is "partial 16S ribosomal RNA". It matches the Rfam family "Bacterial small subunit ribosomal RNA", at positions 29 to 507 of the family's 1533-position model. The record is from RNAcentral.
AGUGAACGCUGGCGGUAGGCCUAACACAUGCAAGUCGAACGGCAGCACAGUAAGAGCUUGCUCUUACGGGUGGCGAGUGGCGGACGGGUGAGGAAUACAUCGGAAUCUACUUUUUCGUGGGGGAUAACGUAGGGAAAAUUACGCUAAUACCGCAUACGACCUACGGGUGAAAGCAGGGGAUCUUCGGACCUUGCGCGAUUGAAUGAGCCGAUGUCGGAUUAGCUAGUUGGCGGGGUAAAGGCACACCAAGGCGACGAUCCGUAGCUGGUCUGAGAGGAUGAUCAGCCACACUGGAACUGAGACACGGUCCAGACUCCUACGGGAGGCAGCAGUGGGGAAUAUUGGACAAUGGGCGCAAGCCUGAUCCAGCCAUACCGCGUGGGUGAAGAAGGCCUUCGGGUUGUAAAGCCCUUUUGUUGGGAAAGAAAAGCAGCAGGUUAAUACCCCGCUGUUCUGACGGUACCCAAAGAAUAAGCACCGGCUAACUUCGUG